AUGGGAGGAGACGGGCAGACGGCGGCGGCGGCGUCCUCCUCGCCCAUCGGCGCGCAACACCUGUCAGAGCCCCGUCGGCUCCGUCGAUCUGCCAGACCUAGGUCGCCGGUGUGGCUGCUGUCUCAGGCGAGAAGAGGAGUGGUCGCGUUAAGACACGGGGAGGGGGAGCAGCCAACCGUGCUCAAGGCCGUCCGUGGCGGCUGCAAAUCGAGGCGGCGGCUACAAAUUGAAGGUCAGUGCACGGCGGCCCUCUCUCCUUCUCAUCCCCUCUCGCUCGAGAGAAAGUUGCGGACAUAUUGGCGGUGGCCUGUCCGCGGCGUCGUCCUCAGCCAGAGAAGGGGAGAGGAGGGAGAGGGAGAUGGUGAGUCCACGGAGAAGCGCCACCGGGAGCAGAUCCGGCCAUCGGCGGCAAGAAAGGCCACGCCCCCCUCUACCUCCGUACCGUCACCCAGGUUACUUGGAAAGUACUGGUCAAAUCAUGGAAGUCUCGAAGAAGAUACUAAAAGAGUAAAAAACUGUUUGAAUAUCGUGCUUGAAAGAUUUUCCCCAGUGAAUCAUGUAAUGGAGGACCAGUGCUUCAUCGAGUCCAUCCCGCCCCUUGGCACUGCCAUUGGCGUCUUCAACAACCUCGCUGAGUACGACGUAGCAUGCUUCGACUAUAUGAUCUGUACAAGAUCAACGCCUAAAAGGGUGUCUACAUCGCAGUUGAGUUGGAUACCUGAAGCUCGAGUAUGUUUAAGUUCUUUCCUGUGCAGUUUCUUACUGUUGCAG
RNAcentral lists this ribosomal RNA (771 nucleotides) under Triticum aestivum (bread wheat). Its description in RNAcentral is "partial small subunit ribosomal RNA". The record is from RNAcentral. Lineage: Eukaryota; Viridiplantae; Streptophyta; Magnoliopsida; Poales; Poaceae.